This 820-nucleotide long non-coding RNA is filed under the name Mus musculus (house mouse). RNAcentral describes it as "long non-coding RNA chrX:8105293-8106113". Lineage: Eukaryota; Metazoa; Chordata; Mammalia; Rodentia; Muridae. The record is from RNAcentral.
AUGGCAGCAGCUAUGUCAGUGUUUCAGCCACCGGUCAGAGGCUUUUCUUUUUAUAAUUGCCACAGGAAUGAUGUCUUGGAAGCUGAGUUUGAAAAAAAAGGGGUUCAAGCUCCUGAAAGCUUGGAAAACUGUCACUACGAUCACAGGGGUGGUCUAUAAGAAUGGCAUAGUUCUUGGAGCAGACACAAGAGCGACUGAAGGGAUGGUUGUUGUUGACAAAAACUGUUCAAAAAUUCACUUUCAUACCUCCUAAUAGUUAUUGCUGUGGAGCUGGGAUAGCUGCAAACACAGAUAUGACAACCCAGCUUAUUUCUUCCAACUUGGAGCUCUACUCUUCACUGGCCACCUUCCGAGAGUUGUUACAGCUAAUAGGAUGUUGAAGCAGAUGCUUUUCCGGUAUCAAGGUUACAUUGGUGCAACCCUAGUUUUGAGGAGAGUAGACAGUACUGGUCCUCAUCUCUACAGCAUCUAUCCUCAUGGAUCAACUGAUAAAUCGCCUUAUGUCACUGUGGGUUCUGGCUCCUUGGCAGCAAUGGCUGUGUUUGAAGGUUAAAUUUAGGCUGGAUAUGGAGGAGAAAGAAGCUAGUGAGUGAGGCUAUUGCAGCUAAGCAUCUUUAUUGACUGAGGGUCUGGAAGCAACAUUGAUCUGCGUGUUAUCAGCAAGAGCAAGCUGGACUUUCUUCGUUCAUACUCAGUGCCCAACAAGAAAGGGACCGGAUUUGGCCGGUACAGAUGUGAGAAAGGCACUACCGCUGUCCUCACUGAGAAAGCCACCCUUCUGGAGAUUCGGGUACUAGAAGAGACAAUGGAUACUUCGUGA